Molecule: ribosomal RNA, 460 nt
Filed under: uncultured bacterium
Lineage: Bacteria
Description: partial 16S ribosomal RNA
Rfam family: Bacterial small subunit ribosomal RNA
Source: RNAcentral
CCUACGGGAGGCAGCAGUGAGGAAUAUUGGUCAAUGGGCGGAAGCCUGAACCAGCCAAGUCGCGUGAGGGAAUAAGGCCCUACGGGUCGUAAACCUCUUUUGCCGGGGAGCAAGGGCCGGGACGAGUCCCGGUCCGGAGAGUACCCGGAGAAAAAGCAUCGGCUAACCCCGGGCCAGCAGCCGCGGUAUUCCGGAGGAUGCGAGCGUUAUCCGGAUUUAUUGGGUUUAAAGGGUGCGUAGGCGGGCUUUUAAGUCAGCGGUAAAAAUUCGGGGCUCAACCCCGUCCGGCCGUUGAAACUGGGGGCCUUGAGUGGGCGAGAAGAAGGCGGAAUGCGUGGUGUAGCGGUGAAAUGCAUAGAUAUCACGCAGAACCCCGAUUGCGAAGGCAGCCUUCCGGCGCCCUACUGACGCUGAGGCACGAAAGUGCGGGGAUCGAACAGGAUUAGAUACCCCAGUAGUC